AUGGCCUCCGACCAUCGCUUCGGCGCGCUAAAGGCGUUCGACGAUACCAAGGCCGGGGUCAAGGGCCUCGUGGACGCGGGAGUCACGGCCGUCCCCGUCAUCUUCCACCACGCGCCCGAAUCCCUCAACGACGCGCCCCAUCACCAUGGCCACCAGUUCGCCAUCCCGGUCAUCGACCUCGCCGGCCUCGCGACACCGUCGGAGCGAGCCUCGGCGGUCGGCGCCGUGAAGGCGGCCGCGGAGACGGUAGGUUUCUUCCAGGUCGUGAACCACGGGGUGCCGGUGGCGGCCAUGUCGGCGAUGUUUGCGGUGCUGCGGGGCUUCAACGAGGAGACGGCGGAUGCCAAGGCGCCGUACCACACCCGGGACGACGGCCGGCAGGUGAGGUACCAUAGCAACUUCGACCUGUACCAAUCGCCGGCGGCCAACUGGCGUGACACGCUGUACAUGGAGAUGGCUCCGGAGCCGCCGGCGCCCGAGGAGAUCCCGCCGGCGUGCAGGGCCAUCGCGCCGGAGUUCGCGGGGCUGGUGCAGGGGCUGGGGAGCACGCUGCUCGGGCUGCUGUCGGAGGCGCUAGGCCUCCGGCAAGGGCACCUGGGGGGCUGA
RNAcentral lists this ribosomal RNA (606 nucleotides) under Triticum aestivum (bread wheat). RNAcentral describes it as "partial small subunit ribosomal RNA". The record is from RNAcentral. Lineage: Eukaryota; Viridiplantae; Streptophyta; Magnoliopsida; Poales; Poaceae.